This 72-nucleotide transfer RNA is filed under the name Gongylonema pulchrum. It matches the Rfam family "tRNA". Rfam says of the family: Transfer RNA (tRNA) molecules are approximately 80 nucleotides in length. Their secondary structure includes four short double-helical elements and three loops (D, anti-codon, and T loops). Lineage: Eukaryota; Metazoa; Nematoda; Chromadorea; Rhabditida; Gongylonematidae. The record is from Rfam by way of RNAcentral.
GAGCCGGUGGUGUAGUGGGUAGCACGUAGCGUCCGGAUGUGAAGGAGAGUGGUUCAAUUCCCUCCCGGCCCA